GCGAGCGCUCCCGGGCCGCGCGAGCCUCUGUGCCGCCGGCGGGAUGCAGCGGGCGUGCGGCCAGGGCGCGGGGCCGCCACCUGCUGGGGAGCCAGGAACAGCGCUGUCUACAAGUUCACCAGGUUGGUUUAAGGUCUCCUAAUGUAUCAUCAUCUAACUGCAAGUCUCAUCUUUUCUUCAAGCCAGGACACCUCCGACUACUUGAGAACACACGUGUGAUGGUGUAAUUUCUGCUUUUCUGAAAGAACUCGGAGGAGACCUGAUCGAGGAGCUUGAGGAACAUCUCCGUCAGGGCACAGUCCCUGCAGUCCUGGAGCCUCAUC
Long non-coding RNA from Ochotona curzoniae (black-lipped pika), 323 nucleotides. RefSeq lists it as uncharacterized. The record is from RefSeq and is a predicted model, not a curated record. The transcript has 4 exons. NCBI's taxonomy places the organism in Eukaryota, Metazoa, Chordata, Mammalia, Lagomorpha, Ochotonidae.